Molecule: ribosomal RNA, 226 nt
Filed under: uncultured soil bacterium
Lineage: Bacteria
Description: partial 16S ribosomal RNA
Rfam family: Bacterial small subunit ribosomal RNA
Source: RNAcentral
AUGGAGAGGACAAAGGGCUGCAACAUAGCAAUAUGAAGCUAAUCCCAAAAACCUCUUCUCAGUUCAGAUUGGAGUCUGCAACUCGACUCCAUGAAGCUGGAAUCGCUAGUAAUCGUAGAUCUGCAACGCUACGGUGAAUACGUUCCCGGACCUUGCACACACCGCCCGUCAAGCCAUGGAAGCUGGGUGUACCUAAAGUCGGUAACCGUAAGGAGCCGCCUAGGGU